Molecule: long non-coding RNA, 1190 nt
Organism: Microcebus murinus (gray mouse lemur)
Lineage: Eukaryota; Metazoa; Chordata; Mammalia; Primates; Cheirogaleidae
Source: RefSeq, a predicted model, not a curated record
UUAAGAAAAUCAAAAGGAAAAGAAAAUAUAUUUACUAUUCAUUAAGUGGAGGUGGAUCAUCAUAAAGGUAUUCUUCCUCGUCUUCAUGUUGAACAGGCUGAGGAGGAGGAUGACAAGGAGGGCUUGGUCUUGCUGUUUCAGGGUGGCAGAAGCAGAAGAAAAAAUCCAGAUAUAAGUGGACCCGUGCAGUUCAAACCUGAGUUGCUCAAGGGUCAACUGUACUAUUACCAAGAAUGAUAGUCCACUGAGCUACCCCUGUGAAGAAACAAGAGUUAACAAUCCCCUGAUAUCAGCAUUCUCUACUCCUUCCCUCAACAGAGAGGCCAACAUUGUUUCUAAAAACUCCUUGAGGAAACUUAAACCAGAACCCUCCCAGUGUGAGAGGGUGGGCUGGGCUACCUUGGUAGGGAGUGAUGUUGGGGGAGGGAAAAUUGGGGCCACACUGUGGUAGGCCUGGUGUGGUGGCUGGAGCUUAGCUUUCCUUGUAGCACCCGGGAAAAGGGCCAGACUCAAAGAGCCUGCCUAACAGAAGCAAGAUUCGCAACAAUAUCUGAGGGGUACUUAAAGGCAUUUCUAACCAAAAUAUCUCAUACUAGUUUGUUCUGGUGCCUGACAUUAUUUUCCUCACCAGGGAGAUUCAUGCAAGAAGGGAAUAGAGAGAUACCUGCAUUGUCUUCCUUGUGGAUUGGUGUAGUGGGAAGUUCAGAGGGGUUCCAGGACUUCAAUUCCGCCUAGUAGUUAAAGAAGAAGAUAAGGCAGAGAGACAGAGACGCAACCACUCAUAAUUGUAAACAAAGGCAUCUUUCUCUCCAAGGAAGUUAGCUGCCUUGUCACGAAGACAAUCACAACAGCCUUAUCCAUGAGGUGAGGAAUGGAGGCCUCCUGCCAACAACCACGGGAAUAAGUCACCUUGAAAGUGGAUCCUCCAACCCAAUCAAGCCUUCGGACGACUGCAGCCCUGGCUGACAUCUUGAUUGUAAUCUCAUGAAAGAACCUGAGCCAAAACUAUUCAGGUCCCAGGAUCCCGCUGAACUGGCUUGGUUAUGGUUGCUGAGCUCUGCCUGACUUUCCUGCCUCUGCAUCCAGACUCCUUCUCAUCCCUUGGAUUCCUUCUCUGCCUAUCCCUGCUAAAAUCAUGUCUAUGCUCCCACCUACAUCAUUUGCUAAUAUAUCAAGAAGCUUCUCUCAAA